GAAGUUUUUAACAGAGAACUAAUAAACAUGGACUGAAGAAGCACAUAGAAGGAAAUCAAAAUCUUCACGCUCAGAGCAUUCAGCCUCAGCAUCCAUAUGAGAUGAGCCCAUAAGAAUCUAAGUAAAUAUCCUACAAGCAUGCCCUUAAUUGUUGAUGAAUGGAUCAAUGGACUGAUUUCAUACCAAAGAAAAAAAGAUACUAAUAUUUGACAAUCUUUUCAACUGUUGUUGAAGUCAAUGAAUUCACACUAUGCAGUAUCACUAACUGUAUCUGCACCCAAGCAUGUUUUUUUUUUUU
RNAcentral lists this unclassified non-coding RNA (298 nucleotides) under Hevea brasiliensis (rubber tree). The record is from RNAcentral. Lineage: Eukaryota; Viridiplantae; Streptophyta; Magnoliopsida; Malpighiales; Euphorbiaceae.